This 460-nucleotide ribosomal RNA is filed under the name uncultured bacterium. RNAcentral describes it as "partial 16S ribosomal RNA". It matches the Rfam family "Bacterial small subunit ribosomal RNA", at positions 338 to 795 of the family's 1533-position model. The record is from RNAcentral.
CCUACGGGAGGCAGCAGUGAGGAAUAUUGGUCAAUGGGCGCGAGCCUGAACCAGCCAAGUAGCGUGAAGGAUGACUGCCCUACGGGUUGUAAACUUCUUUUAUAAGGGAAUAAAGUGAGGCACGUGUGCCUUUUUGUAUGUACUUUAUGAAUAAGGAUCGGCUAACUCCGUGCCAGCAGCCGCGGUAAUACGGAGGAUCCGAGCGUUAUCCGGAUUUAUUGGGUUUAAAGGGAGCGUAGAUGGGUUGUUAAGUCAGUUGUGAAAGUUUGGGGCUCAACCGUAAAAUUGCAUUUGAUACUGGCAGCCUUGAGUGCAGUUGAGGUAGGCGGAAUUCGUGGUGUAGCGGUGAAAUGCGUAGAUAUCACGAAGAACACCGAUUGCGAAGGCAGCCUACUAGACCGCCACUGACGUUGAUGCACGAAAGUGUGGGGAUCAAACAGGAUUAGAUACCCGAGUAGUC